Molecule: ribosomal RNA, 497 nt
Filed under: uncultured bacterium
Lineage: Bacteria
Description: partial 16S ribosomal RNA
Rfam family: Bacterial small subunit ribosomal RNA
Source: RNAcentral
GAUGAACGCUGGCCGCGUGCCUAAUACAUGCAAGUCGAGCGAACAGACGAGGAGCUUGCUCUUCUGACGUUAGCGGCGGACGGGUGAGUAACACGUGGAUAACCUACCUUUAAUACUGGGAUAACUUCGGGAAACCGGAGCUAAUACCGGAUAACAUGUUGAACCUCAUGGUUUAACAGUAAAAGACGUUCUUGUCAUCACUUCUAUAUGGUUCCGCGCCGCAUUAGCUAGUUGGGAAGGUGACAGCAUACCAACGCAACGAUGCGUAGCCGACCUGAGAGGGUGAUCGGGCACACGGGAACUGGGACACGGUCCAGACUCCUACGGGAGGCAGCAGUAGGGAAUCUUACGCAAUGGGCGAAAGCGUGACGGAGCAACGCCGCGUGAGUGAAGAAGGUCUUCGGAUCGUAAAACUCUGUUAUUAGGGAAGAACAAAUGUGUAAGUAACUAUGCACGUCUUGACGGUACCUAAUCAGAAAGCCACGGCUAACUACGUG